GCAAAGCUUUCGAUCCGUAAGCCCGGAUCUUCAUCAGUGCUAAUAAUAUGAUUACAUAUUAUUAGCACUGAUGAAGAUCCGGGCUUACGGAUCGAAAGCUUU
This is a non-coding RNA of Paramuricea clavata, 102 nucleotides long. The record is from the annotation of a GenBank genome assembly. Lineage: Eukaryota; Metazoa; Cnidaria; Anthozoa; Malacalcyonacea; Plexauridae.